UGAGAGAGUCGGGUGAUCGCUGCAAGAAAUUCUUGGAGAGGAAAGUCCGAGCUCCUUUGGGCAUAGAGCUGGGUAACACCCAGGGCAAGUGAUUGUCGGAAAGUGCAACAGAAAGCAAACCGCCGAUGGCCUUUGGGCACAGGUAAGGGUGAAACAGGGAGGUAAGAGCUCCCUCAUGAGAGUCAUGUGAGUGACCAUGCGGUAAACCCCUCUCGGAGCAAGGCCAAAUAGGGAAACCUUAUACGACGCCCAAUCGUGAGUUUCCGGGUAGGCUGCUUGAGCUUGUCGGUAACGGCCGGCCUAGAUAAAUGAUGACCACAGAGAAAUCUGAACAGAACUCGGCUUAUAGACUCUCUCAAUCA
RNAcentral lists this RNase P RNA (362 nucleotides) under Bdellovibrionales bacterium. RNAcentral's name for it is "RNase P RNA component class A". It matches the Rfam family "Bacterial RNase P class A". Rfam says of the family: Ribonuclease P (RNase P) is a ubiquitous endoribonuclease, found in archaea, bacteria and eukarya as well as chloroplasts and mitochondria. Its best characterised activity is the generation of mature 5'-ends of tRNAs by cleaving the 5'-leader elements of precursor-tRNAs. Lineage: Bacteria; Pseudomonadati; Bdellovibrionota; Bdellovibrionia; Bdellovibrionales. The record is from RNAcentral.